RNAcentral lists this ribosomal RNA (324 nucleotides) under uncultured Pseudomonas sp. RNAcentral describes it as "bacterial SSU rRNA". It matches the Rfam family "Bacterial small subunit ribosomal RNA", at positions 1061 to 1382 of the family's 1533-position model. Lineage: Bacteria; Pseudomonadati; Pseudomonadota; Gammaproteobacteria; Pseudomonadales; Pseudomonadaceae. The record is from RNAcentral.
CGUGUCGUGAGAUGUUCGGGUUAAGUCCCGUAACGAGCGCAACCCUUGUCCUUAGUUACCAGCACGUAAUGGUGGGAAACUCUAAGGAGACUGCCGGUGACAAACCGGAGGAAGGUGGGGAUGACGUCAAGUCAUCAUGGCCCUUACGGCCAGGGCUACACACGUGCUACAAUGGUCGGUACAAAGGGUUGCCAAGCCGCGAGGUGGAGCUAAUCCCAUAAAACCGAUCGUAGUCCGGAUCGCAGUCUGCAACUCGACUGCGUGAAGUCGGAAUCGCUGGUAAUCGUGAAUCAGAAUGUCACGGUGAAUACGUUCCCGGGCCUU